This 11490-nucleotide long non-coding RNA is filed under the name Zea mays. Its description in RNAcentral is "long non-coding RNA (ZMAY_LNC005161)". Lineage: Eukaryota; Viridiplantae; Streptophyta; Magnoliopsida; Poales; Poaceae. The record is from RNAcentral.
UUUUAGUCUGAAUCUGAUGAAGCAAUUUGGAAUGCUGAAUUAUUGUGCCUGAUCCAAAUGAAUAAGGUGUAAUGACUCGUCUUUUCAAUUACUGAAACUGGAGAUGUUUGAAUUUACUUGGUCACUUGUAUGGUAAAAUAGCAGCGUUGUCAUAUACUGUUUAUGACUUCAUUUGAGCGCCGUGGAGGAAUAUGGGAUAUCCAUGGAGGAUUGGAGUUUGCAGUUUGCUUUGUUUUUCCUUCCUUAGAUGUUACAUUGCAAACAUAGUGGCAGGAUAACCUUAUAUUCAAACUAAAUAUGUUGUACAUGUUCGGUAGCAGAGUUCAAGUUAGAUCAUGAUAGUGCAGUGGCGUUUUUUUGCUGAUGCUUAAGUUCAGUAUUACCUAGAUGAAGAUCUAUCUUUGUUUGCCAAAAUGGGUUAGCAGCUUCACAGUGUCUUUGACUUGUCUCUAAAGGGGCAGCAGUUUCAUCCAUUAAUUGAGAUUAGUUAGAUGGCAGGAGAUGUGUUGAAAAGGAUAGUUCUUUGAAGUAAAAAAAAACCCGUAAGAUUUAUAGUUUUGAGCAGAUUGGUGUUGUGCAUGUCAUGUCUGCAAUUGCGCUUUGCCACUCCAGACCGUUGUAGUUUGGUACUUAGGUCCUGAACAGCCUUACCUGAACUGAUAAAACUUGAAUACAAUAUAACUGCUAGGCAGUGUACCUGAAAUCUGAUCUUUUUAACCCCUUUUUUGCUCAUUAGUUACAAUUCUUGGCUCCAAACCCAUUGCUUUGCACUCUUGGCAUGUCAUGUACUUGUGUGUGAUUAAAUACGUUCAGACUUGUUCACGCAAGCAGAGGGUGGGGGUGGGGGUAAUGAUAGCUAGUUGGAUCUGCCAUCUUAUUUGCAGCAUAUCGCUUGUUUCUCAACUGUUGUAAUAUUACUCUGGCCACCGCAACGAUGCUGCAUGUCAUUUGUUGGGUGUUUUCAUCUGUUAUUUGCGAAUGAGGUUUUCCCUUUGCACCUAUCUGGAAUCAGUAGUGUAGAAGUGUUGUUUAGGCCCUGUUGGUGGAGCUCUGGCUAGCUCCUCCCUGCACUAUAGGAGGAAGCUAUUUUGGUAUCCUAUCAUGAAACUGGUAUAUGCAAGUAUGUAACAUAGAUGGCUUUUGGUAUCCUAUCAGCUUGCCUUUGUUUAACCGAGGUUUGCUAGGAUACGGUAAUUAUUUUGGAUCCUUAGUAUAUAUCAUCUGAACUUAUUCACUUCCAGGUCUCAAUUCUGUGUGCAACCAAACUACAGAAUUUAGGAAAGGUUAUUCCAAUUCCCAAUUAUGUGUUCCAAUAUCGACAUCCAAACGGGCUAUUACUGGUAGGGCCAUAAACAGUAAAUUUUUUUAGUUUUGUAGUUUUUAAGCACAUUCUGACCAUUAUUUUCAUCUAAUAUGGAACUGUUCAUCAAUAUAAUCAAUAUAUAGGUACACCCGUUGUAGCUAUUUGCUGUUAGAAUACCCGUUUAGGGUUUGGAGUCUUCCUCGUGUAAUGACCUUCUCACCCCUCUGUAAUGGGCCUGGCCCAGUUCACUCAGUCUAUUAAUAUAUCACCCAACCCCUGUUAGGGUUAUGGGUUCACAUUCCAAUAUGGUAUCAGAUUAGGUUUUUUUUCCAGCCUCCUCCCUCCCAGCCGCCGGCUUCCCCUCUCCCCUCUCCUUCCCAGCCGUCGGACUCCCUCCCCCAUCCCCACCGCGCGGGCUCUGCCCUCCAUCCGCCCAGCCAUCCCUGCGGCUCCGGCCGAGGCCGUCCCCGGCAGCCACGGCCACCGUCCAGGCGGAGCACCAGCCCGCGGCGCCAAAGCCACCCGCGCUACCGUUCCGCGUGGGCCACGGCUUCGACCUCCACCGCCUGGAGUCCGACCUCCCGCUCAUCAUCGGCGGCAUCAACAUCCCCCACGUCCGCGACUGCGCGGCUCACUCUGACUUCGACGUGCUGCUGCACUGCGUGGUGGACGCGAUUCUCGGCGCGCUGGGGCUUCCAGCCACCGGCCUUCAACCCGCCGUUGGCCAACUCCUGUCUGCGCCGGCCGCCUCCCUCUGCUCCUACCGGACCGCGCACCUGUGCCGUCUUCUCCAGCCGUCAGUGCCGUGCGCGCCCCGUCCUGUCGCGCCCGUGCCGCCGGACCCCCUCCCGUCGCGCCUGCCCCGAUCUGUCUCCUUCCGCGCCAGCGCCACCGGAUCCGUCCCGGCCGGCUUCUCCCUGCCACCUCCUCUUCACUUGUCGUCUGGCGCUGUCGGCCCCAACUCCCAGCCAAACCGCCCGACUCGUUCCUACUGGCAGCGUGCGCCCUUCUGGACGGCCAAUUCCUCGCUACUCGCGCAGCUGCGCCUCUCCUACCAGUGUUGUCCCCACCCCCACCCAUUCCAUGGCGUCACCCCCGCUGUACAUGAGCUUUCCCUCGCCCGUCGCUCCUGUAACUGUGCGUGCCCUCCUCCACAACGACCAGCUCAUCCGGGGCCUGUUCGUGUCCUUCGAUCCUGUCUGGAACCUUAUUCUCCAGGACUGCGUCGAGAUCCACCCUCAGGCGGGCCGUCACGUGCCUGGACCGCUAGUCUUCCCGUGUGCUGCAAUCGCCUCCCUAGCGGUUGAGCCCGUGUCAUCUCCCUCCCUCCCUAGCACCUAUAUCGGGGCACCUUCUUUAGCCCUCUCCGCUCACACCGUACCUUCGCCACCACCACCUCCUCCUCCCUCCACCGAUUGGGUGGUUGACUCCGGGGCCUCCUUCCACACUACCCCCACAACUAGUUCGUUACUCCACUCCCAUCCACCGCACCCCUCACAUCCUUCCUCCAUCGUCGUUGGCAACGGUUCCACCCUCCCGGUCACCUCAGUAGGUGCAUCGGUUCUUCCAGGACAAUUCUGCCUUAACGACGUCCUUGUUGCUCCUGGACUGACUCAUCCCCUCCUCUCGGUUCGUCGCUUCACUAGUGACAACCAGUGCUCUAUGGAGUUCGACCCCUGGGGUCUCACCAUACACCACCUUCCCACACGUGCUGUGCUCGCUCGCUGUGAUAGCUCCGGCCCCCUCUACUCCCUUCAAUUGCCCACCACUCCCCACACCAGAAUAGCCUCAUCUCCUGCCCUUACUACUACCACCACAUCACAUGCUCUUACUACUACCACCACCUCCUCCGCCAUUUGGCACCGUCGCCUCGGGCACCCUGGACCUGACGUCAUGUCCCAGCUUGCCGGCCACUCUAACAUAUCCUAUACUCGGGGCUCCUCUGAGCACCUCUGUCAUGCUUGUCAGCUUGGCCGUCACUCCCGCCUUCCUUUUUCCACUUCCACGUCCAGGGCUGUCCAGGCCUUUGAUCUUGUCCACUGUGAUCUCUGGACGUCUCCUGUCCUUAGCCUCUCCGGCUACAAAUACUACCUGGUCAUUCUGGACGACUACUCCCAUUUCCUUUGGACUUUCCCCCUUCGGCUGAAGUCCGACACGUUUACCACCCUCACUCACUUCUUCGCCUGGGUAUCCACCCAGUUUCGGCGCCCGGUCCGUGCCCUGCAGUGCGACAAUGGCCGCGAGUUCGACAACAACGCCUCUCGUUCUUUCUUCCUCACUCACGGCGUCCAGUUGCGUCUCUCGUGUCCCUACACCUCUGCUCAGAACGGCCGGGCCGAGCGCAUGAUUCGCACCACCACCAACAUGAUCCGCUGCCUUCUCUUUCAGGCGUCUCUCCCUGCCACCUACUGGGCAGAGGCCCUUCAUACUGCCACUCAUCUCCUCAACCGUCUUCCCUCGAAGGCGGUGAGCCACCCUACACCUCACUUUGCCCUGUACGGCACAGCCCCUUCCUACGACCACCUGCGCGUGUUCGGCUGUGCCUGCUACCCUAACAUUUCCGCUACUGCCCCCAACAAGCUUUCUCCUCGCUCCACUCGCUGCCUAUUCCUCGGCUACUCCCCUGACCACAAGGGGUAUCGGUGCCUGGACCUCACCUCCCACCGCAUCAUCAUCUCUCGUCAUGUCGUCUUCGACGAAGAUGUGUUUCCCCUUGCCGGCUCCACCCCACCCACCGACCUCGACUCACUCCUCGAGUCUGAUCCGGUUCCCCUCCCACCCCCGGCGCCCCGCCUUGCGCCGUUACCCGUACCUCGUGCGGCCACGACGCCUCCACUCGCGCCCACUACCACGCCACGCGCGGCCCCGACGACCCCGCCUGCGCCACGCGCGGCCUCGUCGCUCACGCCUGCGCCCCGCGCGGCCCCGACGACCCCGCCUGCGCCACGCGCGGCCCCGACGACCCCGCCUGCGCCACGCGCGGCCCCGUCGAUCACGCCUGCGCCACGCGCGGCCCCGUCGACCCCAACUCGCUUCGCCGACCCCGCGCUCGUCUACCACCGUCGCAGCCAUGCCGCCACCUCGGCGCCUGCCGACUCGGGCCCGUCGACGAGCACGGCCCGCUUUGCCGACCCUGCCGUCGUCUACCACCGCCGCGAGCCGGUCACACCCGCCGCUCCCGACGUUCCGGCGGCCCGCCCCGAGUCGUCAGUGUACCACCCGGUCGCCAUCCACCGCGACCCCGGGCACGUCCACCCGAUGGUGACUCGGCGCGCCGCUGGCGUUCUUCGCCCCGUCGACCGGCUGGUCCUCGCAGCGGAUACGACCUGCACUCCUCCGGACGCAUCCCCUGUGCCCUCCUCCGUACGCGCUGCCCUCGCCGACCCACAUUGGCGUCGUGCUAUGGAGGAGGAGUACGCGGCCCUCUUGGCCAACCACACCUGGGACCUGGUGCCGCGUCCACCAGGCACCAACGUGGUCACCGGCAAGUGGCUAUUUCGCCACAAGCUGACCUCGGACGGCUCCCUCGACCGCUACAAGGCCCGUUGGGUCCUUCGGGGCUUCACCCAGCGCCCCGGAGUGGACUACGACGAGACCUUCAGCCCCGUCGUCAAGUUCGCCACUGUUCGCGCCGUCCUCUCCCUCGCCCUCUCCCGCGACUGGGCGAUCCACCAGCUCGACGUCAAGAAUGCCUUCCUCCAUGGCACUCUGACGGAGACUGUCUACUGCACCCAGCCCACCGGCUUUGUCGACGCUGACCGUCCGGAUCUGGUCUGCCGGCUGAACCGGUCCCUGUACGGCCUCAAGCAGGCGCCCCGGGCAUGGUACAGUCGCUUCGCCUCCUACCUGGCCUCCAUCGGCUUCGUCGAGGCCAAGUCGGACACGUCCCUGUUCAUCUACCGGCGCGGCGACGACACCGUCUACCUCCUGCUCUAUGUCGACGACAUUGUGCUCACGGCAUCCACCGCCGACCUUCUUCACCGCACGAUCGUCGCCCUUCAGCGGGAAUUCGCCAUGAAGGACCUGGGGCCCCUACACCACUUCCUCGGCAUCACCGCCGAACGCCGGCCUCAGGGUCUCUUCCUCCACCAGCGCCAGUACGCCAUCGACAUCCUGGAGCGGGCUGGCAUGUCUGACUGCAAGCCUUGCUCCACGCCUGUCGACACCCAGGCGAAGCUCCCUGAGGACGACGGGCCUCCGGUCGCCGACGCGACGUCCUACCGGAGCCUGACCGGCGCGCUCCAGUACCUCACCUUCUCCAGGCCCGACAUCGCAUACGCCGUCCAGCAGGUGUGUUUGCAUAUGCACACCCCGCGGGAGCCCCAUCUCACCGCGCUCAAGCGGAUUCUGCGCUACCUCCGCGGCUCGCUCGACUACGGCCUCCUCCUCCGACCAUCCCCGACGUCGGAGCUCGUGGUCUACACCGACGCUGACUGGGCUGGCUGUCCCGACACGCGCCGGUCCACCUCCGGUUACGCCGUGUUCCUGGGCGCCAACCUCGUCUCUUGGGCCGCCAAGCGUCAGCCCGUCGUCUCUCGCUCCAGCGCUGAGGCCGAGUACCGUGCCGUGGCCAACGGCGUGGCAGAGGCCUCCUGGCUGCGCCAGCUCCUCCACGAGCUCCACAGUCCCCUCCAGCGUGCCACCCUCGUCUACUGUGACAACGUCAGCGCGGUCUACCUCUCCACCAACCCCGUGCAGCAUCAGCGCACGAAACACGUGGAGAUCGACCUGCACUUCGUCCGCGAACGUGUCGCUGCCGGUGACGUUCGGGUUCUCAGCGUCCCCACCACGCUGCAGUUCGCCGACAUCUUCACCAAGGGGUUACCGUCGAGUGUAUUUUUAGACUUUCGAUCCAGUCUCAACAUCUGUACAGGAUAGAGUUGUGACUGCGGGGGGGUGUUAGAAUACCCGUUUAGGGUUUGGAGUCUUCCUCGUGUAAUGACCUUCUCACCCCUCUGUAAUGGGCCUGGCCCAGUUCACUCAGUCUAUUAAUAUAUCACCCAACCCCUGUUAGGGUUAUGGGUUCACAUUCCAAUAUUUGCGGCUGCAAAAGGCAAACCGAGAUGUACUUAGUUAUGGAAGCAGCUACAGCCACAACAAAAAAUAUUGCCUAUCUAGCUGAUCAUUUUCUGUUACUUAAUUACAUGGGGUUUUCCUUACGUUUGUUUUUGAAUUUGCUGAAACUGGGUUUAACCUUGCUCCAUUUCCUGCCUCCAAAGUAUGGAUUACCUUUUGGCGUUUUCAUCAAACUUAAACUUGGUGAAGCCUGUGCUGUGCCAAAGCAUAUCCAGUGCUAUGCUACUAGGCUGCUAGUAACCUGUAGCAUCUACUAGACUUGCUUUCCAGUUAAAUGAUGACUAUUUUGGAUCAUAACAUGUUAUUACUUUUUUUUUUCAAAUUUCGUGCUGGAAGUAUUUUUCAUAACUUAUAAGUAGAUGUCAUUUAACUACUCUUGCUUAAAGUAGCUUCUUAUAUGACCUGCCAUUUUGUUAUUGGUUUCUGAAACCAAUUUAAGAAACAAAAUACUUGUCUGAUUUGCAGCACAGUGUUGCAUGUGUUUAGGGGUGAUAAUGGAUCCAAAUGUUUCUUCACAAUUACUUAGAGCUCUAAAAAUAUAUUAGUUCAAAAAAAAAUAGAGCUCAAUCCUAAUUCGAUCCGAUUCUUAAAUUUUCUAGUGUAAAAUUUAGAGCUCGUUGUUACCCCUACGUGCUUUUGAGUUCAUCUGCAUCAUAACGCAGCACUUAGAACUACCACAAGUGUCGGUUUGUAUUUUUCUAACUAUGUUUAUUAGUAUGGAAAAAAGGGUUGUGCAAUCAAGUGUUCCGUGCAAUCAAAAUACUAAAAGUAUGAAAGUUCUUAAAAUGAUAAAUAUACUUUAUUAUUUACUCUAUUCACAUAUUAAGAUUUAAAUUCUAUUUUAUUUUAUUUUAAAAGAUAUAAAAGGAGAAAAAUCUAUUAUUUUUUAUUCUUCAUAUUGGAUAGAAUUUUCUCUUUUUAUAUACAGAAUUUUCUUUUUUUAUAUCUCUUAAUAUAUGAUUAGCUAGAACUUAAAUUUUGAUAUGUUGUUAGAGUAAAUAAUAACGUGUAUCUAUAAACUUUUUUGUGAUUUUGGUAUGGUGCAAAAUGUUGAUCUAUAAAAAUACUAUAUGUUUAGUUGAUAAUGUGCGGAAAUACGUAUAUUAUGUUGGAUUUGUGGCCAUACAAUAAAGGAUAGGGAUCGAGUUUGGAACAAUGAUUUAAUAAGUUAGGAAUAACAUCAAUUGAAGAAAAGAUUGUUUAACAUCGAUUAAGAUGGUUGAGAUAUGUUCAACGAAUACCUUUAGAGCCACUAGUGCGUAGUAGAAUUCUAAGAUGUGCUAACAACAGGAAGAUAGGCAGAGGAAGACUAACGUUGAUACAAGAAGAGACAGUAUAGGGAGACUCCAAAGAUUUAGCCUUAAUAAGAUUGUAUGAACCUAAACUUUCGUUUUUGUUGGGUUUUAAUUAGCAUGCCUUUUUUACUAGGAAAACUGUAGGGGAAGCCCUUACAACAUAAAAUUUUAUUAAACAGAAACAAAACUGUAUAGAGCAUGAAGAAAGAACCAGCUAGAAGAGAAAAAGGAAAAGAAAAAAUAUAAAGAGUUAUACCAAAAGGAUAUCUUCAGUCUAAGAUCAGGGCACAAUCUAACCAACUGUAGCUUGAACAUGCCAUUGAAGCAGUGCUUCCAAGAAGAGAGCGAGGACCGAGGAAACAGAUUCUCUAAAGAUAGUAGCAUUCCUUUAUUUCCAGAUUUCCUAAGCCGAAACAAACAGAAAGAUUUCCAUGAAGAACUUUCUAAGUGAUCCCUUGUCGAUGCGACCAUUGAGAAGAAAUCCAAAAAGUGAUCCCAAUGAAUGUCCAUGUAAUUCCAGCAAUCUGUGCUAAAAGGGCAAAGGUUUUAACUAGCCUACCUUAACAACUAUUUUGUAUUUAAUCCUUUCCACUUAAAAGUUAGUAGCUAUUUUACAUUUAACCCCUUCCACAUAAAAGUCAUUGUUGGAUUUUGAUUGGAUGCACCCGAUCGCUUGAUAUCAACAUGUCUGAUAGCUCAUGAUAAGUUAUUUUGCUUGAGAUUAAAAUUCUUUGUUAUUUAGUAGUUUGAUUGUACUGUUGUUUAAUUGUACAAUAAUUUGUAUCUAUUAUUAUUGGUUUACAAUUGGCCAAUUUAUACAUAGAGUAUUCUAAAAAGGUCCGCUCACAGUUAGAAUGAAAUGUGUUGCCAUUUUUGGGCAAUUGGACCAAUAACAAAAGCAUCAUCUCAGACUUUCAUGGUAUUUGUGGUCCAGAAAAAACAUGUUAUAGAAAACAAGGAAGGGUUGGGCUAAGAUGACCCUAAUAUUUGCAACCUCAACUAACAUUGUGCACCUCUUUAUGGCUUGUUCGGUUAUUUCCGUUCUAUAUGAAUUGGAGGGGAUUAGUAUGGAUUGGAAGGGAUUUUGACUUACUAGGGAUUAAAAUCGACUCAAUCCUCUUCAAUCCAGAUGGAUUGGGGUUAAGCCGAACAUGCCCUUACCUAGCUCACUCCCACCUCCAUCACCAAACUCAAGGUGCAAACAUCAUCUCCAGUUCCAACUACUCUAACUCUUCCUAUUCGGCUCGUCUAAUUGGCACAUGGAUCGGAUCAAAAUUGCUUUGAUGGUUAUGUUUGCACCACUUUCUUUGAGUUGAACGGGUCGAUUUUGUAAAGAAUCUGACAACACCGAGGCUUUAGAUUCAACUUGGCCGAUGCUAGGCUAUUCAAAAUUGAGCCUGAACGAUGUGAAGCUGUUUUUUUCUCGGGGACAUCUAUUAGACUUAGACUUGCUAAUAUAACAUCUAGGCUUGUCUCGAAGCAUAUUCGUUCACUGCAUCCUCUCCUUCAUUCACAAACGCGCAUCGUUGCUCUCAGAGAUGAAGCUAGGUUAUUUUUAAGGGUGCAGAUGUACCUAAAAAUAGAAAUUUUGUAGAUUUAGUUAAAAUUUCAUCAUAUACACAUCUCUGGAAAAAAAUAUAAUGGACUGGUUACUCUGUUUUGUACCUCACGCCUAACAACACUGCCAUGCAUGUGUGGCUUUUGUUCACCCGUCACGUGGUAGGAAGUGCAAGUUACAACGACGAUCUGGUAGUGCAAGCAAGGUACGUGAAAAACUACUACCUCGCCAACUUAGUCCUAGGUCCCAUUAUAUUAGCAGCACCCCAACUUGUUUGUACAAUGUCCACUCUUGCUCUGAGUUCACUCCCGGACUAGAAAAGAUGCCUCGUGAUUUGGUUGCCUAAGCCCUAGGGAACGAGUCAACGGGUCACACAAAAUAUGUCAUCUGAACCUAGAACCGUUAUGCAAAACACGCGACUUGAAGGUCCACAUGGACGGGAUGGGGUCGAUUAACAGAAAGUUCGAUGGUCGGUCAACGGAAUGUGUUUCAUCCUCGACGUCGCAGGGGUGCACUGCCGGCAGCUGGUUUCGUUCAGUGGUGUCUCCAAUCGUGCGCGAUCGAUGCAUCCAACUUGCCAAGAGCAAAUGGAUCGAAGGGACUCAAACUCCUCCUACCGGCUACCGCUCUUGUGUCUAUAGAGUCUCUCACUAAAACUCCUCUUAAAACUUAAAAUAUUCAUACUAUAAUCUUACUAUGUAUUUUAUAUUCAUGGAUGUCUUAAUAUAAUGCUACUUCAAACUAUUACAUAUGUCUAUUGUGAGUGAUUUAGUGAGAUUAUAUUGCUCUAGCGAUUUAAGUAAAGAACAGACUGCCACUAUCAUUUUGCUGGAGAUACAAGUUGAUGUAUACUUGUGCAACAUGAAGCCUUAACUUCUGCUCGGUCAAUGUUAUGUAAUAAAGAAGUGAAGAAAAGACUCGUUCCUAUUAAAACGCACGUCACGGCGCCCGCGUCCGCUGCUGCUGUCGCUUGGGCUGGGCUUGGUCUUGGGCAAGCCAAGGUAAAAGAGUUGUGUGGUCGGCCAGUGCAAGCAAAAAAACACCGACACCCAUGGCUAUCUGACUGAGCGCGUCCAUGUCCAGGUCCUGCACAUAGACCCUGGUCUUCGCUGAUCGGCUGCUGUUUAACCGUUGCACAAGCGCGCGGCGCAGCGUCAUAUCAUUUCCAGCGCCAACGUCGCCGGCUACGCCAUCUCCUCCACCACCGGCUCCAGUGCCGCCUAAAGCCUACGCCGUCUCCUCCUCCUCCAUCUCCAUCGCUCCCACCGACGCAACCUCCACCACCAAUGUCAUCGCCUCCUAUGUCUGUACGCUAUCCGCCUUCUCUCAAUGGUGUCCGGACAUCACUCGCGCCUCCGACAUCACAUUUGUCAUUGGCUCCACGUCCACCGCUCCGGUCAUCAGGAACACCAUCAAUAUCGUCAUGGUCCUCUAAGUCGUUAAGCAACGGCAUGGCGGUGGGCAUAGGCGCCGCCAUCGUGGCGCUGGUCAUGCUCGGCCUCGCCGCCGGGCUCGUCUACUGCUUCAUGGGAACGAAGCGAUGGAGGCGGUCGCCGCCGCCGUCUGAGGAGUUCCGAGGUACGUAUACGCGUAUGUACAGCUACCCGUACAAGUAAGUCGCCUUUGUUCUUGGCAUGCUGGCGAAUGGCGAUGAACAAGAGCAAUGUUUCGCAACUCGGGACGACGCCGAGCGCGGGUCCCCAACCCCAGCAUUAGCGUGGUGACCGUGGUCAGGCGGCGUGCUUGCGCUUGCGCCCCAUGGAUGGUGGGCGAGGUGUCUGCACUGCACGUAGCUGAAAUGGUGCGCCUUGGCGCCACUUUCGCUCUCUAGAGGCUGCUGGACUGACCGACCUCUCGGUGUUAGAAUCUAUACUGCCUAGGAUCGAUUCCUAAGUCCCUAGAAUACCAAUCCGUCUGUAACUGAAAGUAAAAUCUUGAUGACGUGUAGAUCUGAUCUACUAUCUACUGAGAGGAACGGGGAAACACACCUUUAUUGUUGUUGCUAUCUUCAUACCGUCGCCCUGCAGAGAAGCAGCAGGCAUCGGGAUCCGAGCCGCUGUAGGUUGUCGCGUUUCUAAACACUCCGACGUCUAGGCGAUGGGGCCUCUGAGGACUAGGGUUUUGGGGCGAGGUACUAGCGUUAGUUUUUCCUGCGACCCCUUAGUCCUAUAUAUAGCGUCGUGUGUCUGGGGGCUCCAACCGAGGUUAGUGUGGGCCCUCCCGAUCAAGGGCCCGAUUAAAGGAACGAUAGUUGGGUU